Molecule: ribosomal RNA, 549 nt
Filed under: Alternaria chartarum
Lineage: Eukaryota; Fungi; Ascomycota; Dothideomycetes; Pleosporales; Pleosporaceae
Description: eukaryotic LSU rRNA
Rfam family: 5.8S ribosomal RNA (bases 197-350)
Source: RNAcentral
UCCGUAGGGUGAACCUGCGGAGGGAUCAUUACACAAUAUGAAAGCGGGCUGGCAUCCUUCGGGGUUACAGCCUUGCUGAAUUAUUCACCCGUGUCUUUUGCGUACUUCUUGUUUCCUUGGUGGGUUCGCCCACCAUAGGACAAACCAUAAACCUUUUGUAAUUGCAAUCAGCGUCAGUAAAAAAAUUAAUAAUUACAACUUUUAACAACGGAUCUCUUGGUUCUGGCAUCGAUGAAGAACGCAGCGAAAUGCGAUAAGUAGUGUGAAUUGCAGAAUUCAGUGAAUCAUCGAAUCUUUGAACGCACAUUGCGCCCUUUGGUAUUCCAAAGGGCAUGCCUGUUCGAGCGUCAUUUGUACCCUCAAGCUUUGCUUGGUGUUGGGCGUCUUGUCUCCAGUUCGCUGGAGACUCGCCUUAAAGUAAUUGGCAGCCGGCCUACUGGUUUCGGAGCGCAGCACAAGUCGCGCUCUCUUCCAGCCAAGGUCAGCAUCCACAAAGCCUUUUUUCAACUUUURACCUCGGAUCAGGUAGGGAUACCCGCUGAACUUAAG